This 403-nucleotide ribosomal RNA is filed under the name Fusobacteriota bacterium. RNAcentral's name for it is "Fusobacteria bacterium partial 16S ribosomal RNA". It matches the Rfam family "Bacterial small subunit ribosomal RNA", at positions 355 to 776 of the family's 1533-position model. Lineage: Bacteria; Fusobacteriati; Fusobacteriota. The record is from RNAcentral.
UGGGGAAUAUUGCACAAUGGAGGGAACUCUGAUGCAGCGACGCCGCGUGAACGAAGAAGGCUUUCGAGUCGUAAAGUUCUUUUAUAUGGGAAGAUAAUGACGGUACCAUAAGAAAAAGCCCCGGCUAACUACGUGCCAGCAGCCGCGGUAAUACGUAGGGGGCUAGCGUUGUCCGGAAUCACUGGGCGUAAAGGGUUCGCAGGCGGAAAUGCAAGUCAGGUGUAAAAGGCAGUAGCUUAACUACUGUAAGCAUUUGAAACUGCAUAUCUUGAGAAGAGUAGAGGUAAGUGGAAUUUUUAGUGUAGCGGUGAAAUGCGUAGAUAUUAAAAAGAAUACCGGUGGCGAAGGCGACUUAAUGGGCUCAUUCUGACGCUGAGGAAAGAAAGCGUGGGUAGCAAACAGG